RNAcentral lists this ribosomal RNA (253 nucleotides) under uncultured beta proteobacterium. RNAcentral's name for it is "partial 16S ribosomal RNA". It matches the Rfam family "Bacterial small subunit ribosomal RNA", at positions 524 to 776 of the family's 1533-position model. Lineage: Bacteria; Pseudomonadati; Pseudomonadota; Betaproteobacteria. The record is from RNAcentral.
UACGUAGGGUGCGAGCGUUAAUCGGAAUUACUGGGCGUAAAGCGUGCGCAGGCGGUUCGUCGUGUCCGAUGUGAAAGCCCCGGGCUCAACCUGGGAAUGGCAUUGGAAACUGGCGAGCUUGAGUGUGGCAGAGGGGGGUGGAAUUCCGCGUGUAGCAGUGAAAUGCGUAGAGAUGCGGAGGAACACCGAUGGCGAAGGCAGCCCCCUGGGCUGACACUGACGCUCAGGCACGAAAGCGUGGGGAGCAAACAGG